AUUGAACGCUGGCGGCAGGCCUAACACAUGCAAGUCGAGCGGAUGAAGGGAGCUUGCUCCUGGAUUCAGCGGCGGACGGGGGAGUAAUGCCUAGGAAUCUGCCUGGUAGUGGGGGAUAACGUCCGGAAACGGGCGCUAAUACCGCAUACGUCCAGCGGGAGAAAGUGGGGGAUCUUCGGACCCCACGCUAUCAGAUGAGCCUAGGUCGGAUUAGCUAGUUGGUGGGGUAAAGGCCUACCAAGGCGACGAUCCGUAACUGGUCUGAGAGGAUGAUCAGUCACACUGGAACUGAGACACGGUCCAGACUCCUACGGGAGGCAGCAGUGGGGAAUAUUGGACAAUGGGCGAAAGCCUGAUCCAGCCAUGCCGCGUGUGUGAAGAAGGUCUUCGGAUUGUAAAGCACUUUAAGUUGGGAGGAAGGGCAGUAAGUUAAUACCUUGCUGUUUUGACGUUACCAACAGAAUAAGCACCGGCUAACUUCGUG
This 484-nucleotide ribosomal RNA is filed under the name uncultured bacterium. RNAcentral describes it as "partial 16S ribosomal RNA". It matches the Rfam family "Bacterial small subunit ribosomal RNA", at positions 30 to 507 of the family's 1533-position model. The record is from RNAcentral.